RNAcentral lists this ribosomal RNA (161 nucleotides) under Anthocercis gracilis. RNAcentral's name for it is "5.8S ribosomal RNA". The stretch from base 1 to 138 matches the Rfam family "5.8S ribosomal RNA", at positions 19 to 154 of the family's 154-position model. Rfam says of the family: 5.8S ribosomal RNA (5.8S rRNA) is a component of the large subunit of the eukaryotic ribosome. It is transcribed by RNA polymerase I as part of the 45S precursor that also contains 18S and 28S rRNA. Functionally, it is thought that 5.8S rRNA may be involved in ribosome translocation. Lineage: Eukaryota; Viridiplantae; Streptophyta; Magnoliopsida; Solanales; Solanaceae. The record is from RNAcentral.
UCUCGGCUCUCGCAUCGAUGAAGAACGUAGCGAAAUGCGAUACUUGGUGUGAAUUGCAGAAUCCCGUGAACCAUCGAGUCUUUGAACGCAAGUUGCGCCCGAAGCCAUUAGGCCGAGGGCACGUCUGCCUGGGCGUCACGCAUCGCGUCGCCCCCGCACAA